RNAcentral lists this ribosomal RNA (460 nucleotides) under uncultured bacterium. RNAcentral's name for it is "partial 16S ribosomal RNA". It matches the Rfam family "Bacterial small subunit ribosomal RNA", at positions 338 to 795 of the family's 1533-position model. The record is from RNAcentral.
CCUACGGGUGGCAGCAGUGAGGAAUAUUGGUCAAUGGGCGGAAGCCUGAACCAGCCAAGUCGCGUGCAGGAUGACGGCCCUACGGGUUGUAAACUGCUUUUAUACGGGAAUAACGCGCCUUACGUGUAGGGCUUUGCAUGUACCGUAUGAAUAAGGACCGGCUAAUUCCGUGCCAGCAGCCGCGGUAAUACGGGAGGUCCGGGCGUUAUCCGGAUUUAGUGGGUUUAAAGGGCGCGUAGGCCGCAUGGCAAGCGUUCUGUGAAAUGUCCGGGCUCAACCCGGGCCUUGCAGCGCGAACGGGCGUGCUUGAGUCCGCGGAAAGCAGGCGGAAUUCGUCGUGUAGCGGUGAAAUGCUUAGAUAUGACGAAGAACCCCGAUUGCGAAGGCAGCUUGCUGCAGCGGAACUGACGCUGAUGCUCGAAAGCGCGGGUAUCGAACAGGAUUGGAUACCCUAGUAGUC